CCAGCCACUGCCACCAUGCACCUGUCCCUUCUCUGUUGGCUGAUGCAAUUCAGUGGAGAGCUGAGACUGAAGCCAAGCUUAGGAAACAGAGUCGUUCUUCAUGUGGAUGGCUCUGUGCCAAAAUAAGGGAAUAGCC
Suncus etruscus (white-toothed pygmy shrew) is the source of this 136-nucleotide small nucleolar RNA. RefSeq annotates it as small nucleolar RNA SNORA65. The transcript has a single exon. The record is from RefSeq and is a predicted model, not a curated record. NCBI's taxonomy places the organism in Eukaryota, Metazoa, Chordata, Mammalia, Eulipotyphla, Soricidae.